Molecule: ribosomal RNA, 333 nt
Filed under: uncultured Bacillota bacterium
Lineage: Bacteria; Bacillati; Bacillota
Description: bacterial SSU rRNA
Rfam family: Bacterial small subunit ribosomal RNA
Source: RNAcentral
GAUGAACGCUGGCGGCGUGCCUAACACAUGCAAGUCGAACGGAGUUAUAUGAAGUUUUCGGAUGGAUUAUAACUUAGUGGCGGACGGGUGAGUAACGCGUGGGUAACCUGCCUCAUACAGGGGGAUAACAGUUGGAAACGGCUGCUAAAACCGCAUAACAUUGCGAUGCCGCAUGGCGAUGCAAUUAAAUAUUUAUAGGUAUGAGAUGGGGCCCGCGUCUGAUUAGCUAGUUGGUGGGGUAAUGGCCUACCAAGGCGACGAUCAGUAGCCGGCUUGAGAGAGUGACCGGCCACAUUGGGACUGAGACACGGCCCAAACUCCUACGGGAGGCUG